This is a long non-coding RNA of Brienomyrus brachyistius, 1039 nucleotides long. RefSeq lists it as uncharacterized. The record is from RefSeq and is a predicted model, not a curated record. The transcript has 3 exons. NCBI's taxonomy places the organism in Eukaryota, Metazoa, Chordata, Actinopteri, Osteoglossiformes, Mormyridae.
CUCUGAGGAACGAGUUGGGAAACAUUGCUCAAGAUGGUCUUUUAGAUUAUGCUGGUUGCUGGUAGGUCUUCUCCACCUAGGAACUGCCCUCUCCACCCACAAGAAGUGAUGACUGGAUAUAGAGCCAGGCUCCAAUCACCCAACCCUGAAUAAGAAGUUGGAUGGAUGGAUGGAUGGAUGGAUGGAUGGAUGGAUGGUCUGUCACGGGGGAGCGGAGAUCCACAGCUCUGAAAGCGACGUGGCAGCAGAUUGGCACUCCUGUGUCGAGCGUUAGGAAGUGAACAGACGCGAGGGCCCACUGGACCGGGGGUCUGUGUUGGUGACUCUGAUGUCAUGAGAUGGAAGGCCGUCAUUUACAUCCACGCCUCAGCCAAAAAACAAUUUUAAAAUUUACAAACGAUAAUAAUGGAAUCCUUAGUAUUAUUAUGACUCUCUUCCUGUGCACAGACAUGACAGGGAAUAGUGCAUAAUGUUUAGAAGUACCUUUGAAUGUCUGUCCCUUAGAUAAAUGCUCUAAGUAGCUUUCACAAAAAAAAAUACUCUGGCUCACUGAUUAUAGCAGUUUUUUUAUUACAAAAUAUAAGAGCAUCAGUCUCAUGAAAACAUGCUGCAAAGGGAAAUUUGUCACCGGCAGCUAGUUAACUCACCCGGCCGACUUUCUCCCGGAAGUGGGGCUCACAGGAGACAUUUUGUCUCCACCCGCCCCCCCCCCCCCCCUUUGUAAUUGCAAAUUAAUGAAAGUCUCCGCGCACAAUAGACGACGCCCGAAAAAAUGAGCAAUUUACAUACAAAAUUAGACGGGUGCGCUUGGAAAUGUCAAAGUACGCCCCAGACGUUUUUAAUGACUUGCAAAGGACACGGCGAAGAAGACGCAGCCUCCAUCGCUUUCUGGGUAACGGCAAAGAUGCCUUUUAAUAUUCACCAGGAACCGCAAAAAUUCAUUACAGCGUAUUUUGAGAACAUCUUCUGCUAUCCAAGCAACAGAGGAAUAAGACACUAUUAAAUUCUGAUAUAAAAUCCUGUGAUAUCAUAUGUUCCU